Maniola jurtina (meadow brown) is the source of this 219-nucleotide long non-coding RNA. RefSeq lists it as uncharacterized. Lineage: Eukaryota; Metazoa; Arthropoda; Insecta; Lepidoptera; Nymphalidae. The transcript is spliced from 3 exons. The record is from RefSeq and is a predicted model, not a curated record.
GUCCACAUGUGGAUUUAGGUUUUUCAAAAUCCCGUAGGCACAUAUUGAUUUUCCGGGAUAAAAAAUAGCCUAUGUCCGUCCCCGGGAUAUAUAAGCUAACUCUGUACCAAAUUUCAUUAAAAGCGGUUUAGCGGUAGAGCCGCGAAAAUGUAGCAUACAGACAGAUACACUUUCGCAAUUACAAUAUUAGUAUGGAUAAAGUAUGAAUAUAACAUCAUA